Molecule: non-coding RNA, 384 nt
Organism: Picea glauca (white spruce)
Lineage: Eukaryota; Viridiplantae; Streptophyta; Pinopsida; Pinales; Pinaceae
Source: Rfam
AAUCUGACCUGGGAAUGGCAGUAGUGGAAGGCCACUUUACAUAAGUGGGAGUUGUUUUCGACGCAAGUGAAAUACCACUACUUUUAAUGUUAUUUUACUUAUUCUAUGGAGCACUGCCCCUGUUUUUUUCCUUAAGACACCUUUUGACAGGUCGAUCUGGGUGGAAGACAUAGUCAGGUGGGGAGUUUGGUUGGGGCAGCCCAUCUGUUAAAAGAUAACACAGGUGUCCUGAGAUGAACUCAACGAGAACAAAAAUCUUGUAAGGAACAAAAGGGUAAAAGCUCAUUUGAUUUUGAUUUUCAGUACAAAUACAAACAGUGAAAGCUUGGCCUAUCGAUCCUUUAGACUUCCAGAAUUUGAAGUUAGAGGUGUCAUAAAAGUUAC